This 480-nucleotide ribosomal RNA is filed under the name Bacillus sp. Arv-9-2.1a. Its description in RNAcentral is "bacterial SSU rRNA". It matches the Rfam family "Bacterial small subunit ribosomal RNA", at positions 56 to 517 of the family's 1533-position model. Lineage: Bacteria; Bacillati; Bacillota; Bacilli; Caryophanales; Bacillaceae. The record is from RNAcentral.
UGCAAGUCGAGCGAACUGAUUAGAAGCUUGCUUCUAUGACGUUAGCGGCGGACGGGUGAGUAACACGUGGGCAACCUGCCUGUAAGACUGGGAUAACUUCGGGAAACCGAAGCUAAUACCGGAUAGGAUCUUCUCCUUCAUGGGAGAUGAUUGAAAGAUGGUUUCGGCUAUCACUUACAGAUGGGCCCGCGGUGCAUUAGCUAGUUGGUGAGGUAACGGCUCACCAAGGCAACGAUGCAUAGCCGACCUGAGAGGGUGAUCGGCCACACUGGGACUGAGACACGGCCCAGACUCCUACGGGAGGCAGCAGUAGGGAAUCUUCCGCAAUGGACGAAAGUCUGACGGAGCAACGCCGCGUGAGUGAUGAAGGCUUUCGGGUCGUAAAACUCUGUUGUUAGGGAAGAACAAGUACAAGAGUAACUGCUCGUACCUUGACGGUACCUAACCAGAAAGCCACGGCUAACUACGUGCCAGCAGCCG